AUUGAACGCUGGCGGCAUGCUUUACACAUGCAAGUCGAACGGUAACAGGCCUUCGGGUGCUGACGAGUGGCGAACGGGUGAGUAAUGCAUCGGAACGUACCCAGAGGUGGGGGAUAACGCAGCGAAAGCUGUGCUAAUACCGCAUGUGAUCUGAGGAUGAAAGCGGGGGACCGAGCAGCAAUGUUUGGCCUCGCGCCUUUGGAGCGGCCGAUGUCGGAUUAGCUAGUUGGUGGGGUAAAGGCCUACCAAGGCGACGAUCCGUAGCUGGUCUGAGAGGACGACCAGCCACACUGUGACUGAGACACGGCCCAGACUCCUACGGGAGGCAGCAGUGGGGAAUUUUGGACAAUGGGCGCAAGCCUGAUCCAGCAAUGCCGCGUGCGGGAAGAAGGCCUUCGGGUUGUAAACCGCUUUUGGCAGGAACGAAACGGUGUCCGCUAAUACCGGGCGCUAAUGACGGUACCUGCAGAACAAGCACCGGCUAACUACGUG
RNAcentral lists this ribosomal RNA (492 nucleotides) under uncultured bacterium. RNAcentral describes it as "partial 16S ribosomal RNA". It matches the Rfam family "Bacterial small subunit ribosomal RNA", at positions 29 to 507 of the family's 1533-position model. The record is from RNAcentral.